UAUGUAGGGUGCAAGCGUUAAUCGGAAUUACUGGGCGUAAAGCGCACGUAGGCGGAUUGUUAAGUCAGGGGUGAAAUCCUGGAGCUCAACUCCAGAACUGCCUUUGAUACUGGCGAUCUUGAGUCCGGGAGAGGUGAGUGGAACUGCGAGUGUAGAGGUGAAAUUCGUAGAUAUCAGGAGGAACACCAAUAGCGAAGGCAGCUCGCUGGGACGGUACUGACACUAAGGCGCGAAAGCGUGGGGAGCGAACAGG
Molecule: ribosomal RNA, 253 nt
Filed under: uncultured bacterium
Lineage: Bacteria
Description: partial 16S ribosomal RNA
Rfam family: Bacterial small subunit ribosomal RNA
Source: RNAcentral